UAUUUAAACUUUUUAUUCUCUCUAAGCAAACGUACUUGCUCUCUGAUAGAACAGAAAAACCUCUAAGAGGAAAAAGUUUCUGUAAGAGAAAGACAAUUGCAGUUCACCAAAACUUUUCAGAACACAAAAGGUAAUGUUCCUUUUUCUGCUCUCCUUUCCUAUUCUCUGUUUCCAGAACAGAAGAAGACUGCCUCUGAAAUAAACCAAGGAAAUUCCCUGUAAUAGAUUUCAAUUUUCAAACCUCCAUUUUGCAAUAAGGUUUUAUAAGGUAACAUACAGCCUGGUGUAGUGGAAAAAUUGUUUUCUUUCUGGAGCUUCCAGUCCACCUACAUCAUGCAGCAAGCCCUGUAAAAAGACAAUAAGAUAGAAAAGAGUUUUAUUGUCAUUGCCGUGGUGAAUUCAAAGCUAUUACUUUCCAGCCAUCUGAGCCACAUAUCACAGUGUUAUUCCACAGCCUUUUGAGUACUAUGUGGAAAAAGAACACAACGCUAUUUCUGGCAUCCAGAUAAAAGCAGUUUGGUUUCUGGAAGCUGUGGAUACUUUGCUGAUACCUGCUGCAUCUGAUAGUUUCUUCCUGAUUUCUUCAAUCAAAGUCAAAACUGAAAGCACAACAGCAUGUGCUCUCUUUGGGCAUCCAAUCAGUCUGAAAUGGUACAUUUGUGAAACAAGCAAAGCUCUUCAGCAUGAGGCUUGGGAAGAUAGGUACUGGGUGUCAUCAAUCAAUGAAUUUUCCAGCAGGUCAUUUCUCAGAGCAUCCAUUCUCCUGAAGGCAGUUCCAGAGUUUAAAAAUUAAACCAAAU
Molecule: long non-coding RNA, 800 nt
Filed under: Cyanistes caeruleus (blue tit)
Lineage: Eukaryota; Metazoa; Chordata; Aves; Passeriformes; Paridae
Description: lncRNA (ENSCCEG00000009773.1)
Source: RNAcentral